UCGCGAGAGUGAUUUUGGGACUCCCAGGCUGAGGCUCCCGAGCGCAGAUUAAAGAGGCGGCCGGUUCUCAUCUCGGCUCCUCCCUACAGGAGCUGUGUAUUGAAGACAAUGUCUGGGAGCUUCUACUUCGUAAUUGUUGGCCACCAUGAUAAUCCAGUUUUUGAAAUGGAAUUUUUGCCACCUGGGAAAGCAGAAUCCAAAGAUGAUCACCGUCAUCUGAACCAGUUUAUAGCUCAUGCUGCUCUUGACCUUGUGGACGAAAAUAUGUGGCUUUCGAACAACAUGUACUUAAAAACGGUGGACAAAUUUAAUGAGUGAAAGACCACGCCUUAACUCUCUGCACAUAUGAGAUUUAUUAUGCUUCAUGAUGUGAGGCAAGAAGAUGGGAUAAAGAACUUCUUUACUGAUGUCUAUGAUCUGUAUAUAAAGUUUGCAAUGAAUCCAUUUUAUGAACCCAAUUCUCCCAUUCGAUCGAGUGCAUUCGACAGGAAAGUCCAGUUUCUUGGGAAGAAACACCUUUUAAGCUAAAUGAGAACAACUCGGAAAUCAGCUGUCUCAUCGUGGGUAUCAGGAAGGUGUGCUCUGUAAAUCAUUCGAAAUUGCCUGGAAAACAUCCCCUUAAAAUUGUACUUUGUUUUCAUGUUGACUAUCAGCAUUAAUAUUGGCUUGUGAACUGUGAUAUGUAUAAACAACUCUUUACCAGUAGUUCUGAACAGUUUUAUUUAAAAACUUGAGAAAACUUUUCUUGCCGAAGAUAAUAUGAUCUUAAUUUAUUAAUUCAAAAGCAUAUGUCAUAGUUAAUAUUUGUUAGAUUGAUUAAAGACUGAAAAGUUCUGGAGACAUGACUGAAAUGAGUUAUUUAUACAUUUAGAGAUGUCCUUUUAAAAUGCAUAAUACACUGCAGUACCAAGAAGCUGAAGCAGAAAGCCCAUGCCAAGUGUUCCAUGCUUGCCUACCUCUGCCAGAGGCUGAGAAUAACCGUCCUGCUGUAACUCUAGACCCCCUAGAUCUAUGUAUGCUGCACCAGUUACAGGCCUUGGCAAAAUGUGGUGCCUCUGUCACCUUACAUUCUAGUGUUUCCUUUCUCUUAGUAAACUAGAGGUUUAUUUGAAUUUAUUAGUAUCUGUACUUGGAAAAUGUUAUAAUAUGGAUUUAGUAUUACUAAUAAAAGCCUGGGUUACACUGACAUUUGCACUUUACCUUUAUGCUAUAUACAGGGUGGGAGGUGGCAGAUGUGGCCUCUUGUAUUAGAAAUGUUGGUUUGAUUUUACAGUAGUACAUAUGUAUGGAAAAGCAAACCAGAUUUUCAUGUACACACUGGAAAAUUUCUCUCCAUUCUAACUUUUGAGUAAGUACUUCUAAACUUUCUUGUAUUCUUUGGUGAAGUUAUCAUCACUCUUUUUUUUAUUUCUUAAAUAAAUAUUUAUAUCCAA
Molecule: RNA transcript, 1433 nt
Organism: Mus musculus (house mouse)
Lineage: Eukaryota; Metazoa; Chordata; Mammalia; Rodentia; Muridae
Gene: Trappc2
Gene name: trafficking protein particle complex 2
Exons: 5
Source: RefSeq, marked validated